UGCAUUCACUACUGUAAGUUGUUGCUCUGGAUAAGAGCGUCUGCUAAAUGACUAAAA
Salmo salar (Atlantic salmon) is the source of this 57-nucleotide non-coding RNA. The record is from Rfam. NCBI's taxonomy places the organism in Eukaryota, Metazoa, Chordata, Actinopteri, Salmoniformes, Salmonidae.